UGGGGAAUUUUGGACAAUGGGCGAAAGCCUGAUCCAGCAAUGCCGCGUGUGUGAAGAAGGCCUUCGGGUUGUAAAGCACUUUUGUCCGGAAAGAAAUCCUUGGCUCUAAUACAGUCGGGGGAUGACGGUACCGGAAGAAUAAGCACCGGCUAACUACGUGCCAGCAGCCGCGGUAAUACGUAGGGUGCAAGCGUUAAUCGGAAUUACUGGGCGUAAAGCGUGCGCAGGCGGUUUGCUAAGACCGAUGUGAAAUCCCCGGGCUCAACCUGGGAACUGCAUUGGUGACUGGCAGGCUAGAGUAUGGCAGAGGGGGGUAGAAUUCCACGUGUAGCAGUGAAAUGCGUAGAGAUGUGGAGGAAUACCGAUGGCGAAGGCAGCCCCCUGGGCCAAUACUGACGCUCAUGCACGAAAGCGUGGGGGAGCAAAACAGGAUUAGAUACCCUGGUAGUCCACGCCCUAAACGAUGUCAACUAGUUGUUGGGGGAUUCAUUUCCUUAGUAACGUAGCUAACGCGUGAAGUUGACCGCCUGGGGAGUACGGUCGCAAGAUUAAAACUCAAAU
RNAcentral lists this ribosomal RNA (561 nucleotides) under uncultured bacterium. RNAcentral describes it as "partial 16S ribosomal RNA". It matches the Rfam family "Bacterial small subunit ribosomal RNA", at positions 355 to 906 of the family's 1533-position model. The record is from RNAcentral.